Molecule: long non-coding RNA, 582 nt
Organism: Oncorhynchus tshawytscha (Chinook salmon)
Lineage: Eukaryota; Metazoa; Chordata; Actinopteri; Salmoniformes; Salmonidae
Source: Ensembl
CGUCACACAGACACAAAGAACAGUGUUGUUUUUGAUAACCCCCUACAACCCUAAACAUACACACACAUUAUUUGUAUUUUGUAUUGGUAUUUAUUAAGGAUCCCCAUUAGUUCCUGCCAAGGCAGCAGCUACUCUUCCUGGGGUUUAUUAAGGAUCCCCAUUAGUUCCUGCCAAGGCAGCAGCUACUCUUCCUGGGGUUUAUUAUGGAUCCCCAUUAGUUCCUGCCAAGGCAGCAGCUACUCUUCCUGGGGUUUAUUAAGGAGCCCCAUUAGUUCCUGCCAAGGCAGCAGCUAAUCUUCCUGGGGUUUAUUAAGGAUCCCCAUUAGUUCCUGCCAAGGCAGCAGCUACUCUUCCUGGGGUUUAUUAGGGAUCCCCAUUAGUUUCUGCCAAGGCAGCAGCUACUCUUCCUGGGGUUUAUUAAGGAGCCCCAUUAGUUCCUGCCAAGGCAGCAGCUACUCUUCCUGGGGUUUAUUAAGGAUCCCCAUUAGUUCCUGCCAAGGCAGCAGCUAAUCUUCCUGGGGUUUAUUAAGGAUCCCCAUUAGUUCCUGCCAAGGCAGCAGCUACUCUUCCUGGGGUUUAUUA